GGGGCUGUAGCUCAGUUGGCAGAGCACUUGCCUAACACGUGCAAGGCCAUGGGUUCAAUCCUCAGCAUCACCA
This 73-nucleotide transfer RNA is filed under the name Urocitellus parryii (Arctic ground squirrel). RNAcentral's name for it is "Spermophilus parryii (Arctic ground squirrel) tRNA". It matches the Rfam family "tRNA". From Rfam's summary of the family: Transfer RNA (tRNA) molecules are approximately 80 nucleotides in length. Their secondary structure includes four short double-helical elements and three loops (D, anti-codon, and T loops). Further hydrogen bonds mediate the characteristic L-shaped molecular structure. tRNAs have two regions of fundamental functional importance: the anti-codon, which is responsible for specific mRNA codon recognition, and the 3' end, to which the tRNAs corresponding amino acid is attached (by aminoacyl-tRNA synthetases). tRNAs cope with the degeneracy of the genetic code in two manners: having more than one tRNA (with a specific anti-codon) for a particular amino acid; and 'wobble' base-pairing, i.e. permitting non-standard base-pairing at the 3rd anti-codon position. RNAcentral also lists the same sequence under 2 other names. The record is from Rfam by way of RNAcentral. Lineage: Eukaryota; Metazoa; Chordata; Mammalia; Rodentia; Sciuridae.